RNAcentral lists this non-coding RNA (24 nucleotides) under Mus musculus (house mouse). The record is from RNAcentral. Lineage: Eukaryota; Metazoa; Chordata; Mammalia; Rodentia; Muridae.
UAUACUCUCAGCCCUCAUCCACUC